GGCUCUGUAGUGAAAUUCAUGGUGGGUUGCAAGCUCAUCGAUGUGCGUUAGUCAGGCACCGGAGUCU
This 67-nucleotide transfer RNA is filed under the name Paradisaea raggiana (Raggiana bird of paradise). RNAcentral describes it as "tRNA-Cys". The record is from RNAcentral. Lineage: Eukaryota; Metazoa; Chordata; Aves; Passeriformes; Paradisaeidae.